This 421-nucleotide ribosomal RNA is filed under the name uncultured bacterium. RNAcentral's name for it is "partial 16S ribosomal RNA". It matches the Rfam family "Bacterial small subunit ribosomal RNA", at positions 360 to 773 of the family's 1533-position model. The record is from RNAcentral.
AAUAUUUGACAAUGGGGGAAACCCUGAUCCAGCCAUGCCGCGUGUGUGAAGAAGGUCNNNGGAUUNUNAAGCACUUUUAGUUGNGGNNAAGGGUUGUUGGCUAAUAUCCAGCACUUUUGACGUUACCGACCGAAUAAGCACCGGCUAACUCUGUUCCAGCAGCCGCGGUAAUACAGAUGGUGCAAGCGUUAAUCGGAAUUACUGGGCGUAAAGCGCGCGUAGGUGGUUCAGUAAGAUGGGUGUGAAAUCCCCGGGCUUAACCUGGGAACUGCUUUGAUAACUGCUGAGCUAGAGGACGGUAGAGGGUAGUGGAAUUUCCUGUGUAGCGGUGAAAUGCGUGGAUAUAGGAAGGAACACCAGUGGCGAAGGCGACUACCUGGACUGAUACUGACACUGAGGUGCGAAAGCGUGGGGAGCAAAC